AUUGAACGCUGGCGGCAGGCCUAACACAUGCAAGUCGAGCGGAUGAAGGGAGCUUGCUCCUGGAUUCAGCGGCGGACGGGUGAGUAAUGCCUAGGAAUCUGCCUGGUAGUGGGGGAUAACGUCCGGAAACGGGCGCUAAUACCGCAUACGUCCUGAGGGAGAAAGGGGGGGAUCUUCGGACCUCACGCUAUCAGAUGAGCCUAGGUCGGAUUAGCUAGUUGGUGGGGUAAAGGCCUACCAAGGCGACGAUCCGUAACUGGUCUGAGAGGAUGAUCAGUCACUCUGGAACUGAGACACGGUCCAGACUCCUACGGGAGGCAGCAGUGGGGAAUAUUGGACAAUGGGCGAAAGCCUUAUCCAGCCAUGCCGCGUGUGUGAAGAAGGUCUUCGGAUUGUAAAGCACUUUAAGUUGGGAGGAAGGGCAGUAAGUUAAUACCUUGCUGUUUUGACGUUACCAACAGAAUAAGCACCGGCUAACUUCGUG
Molecule: ribosomal RNA, 484 nt
Filed under: uncultured bacterium
Lineage: Bacteria
Description: partial 16S ribosomal RNA
Rfam family: Bacterial small subunit ribosomal RNA
Source: RNAcentral